RNAcentral lists this long non-coding RNA (996 nucleotides) under Homo sapiens (human). Its description in RNAcentral is "non-protein coding lnc-TBL1XR1-19:2". The record is from RNAcentral. Lineage: Eukaryota; Metazoa; Chordata; Mammalia; Primates; Hominidae.
AUUCCAGAGCAAGAACAGGUUCCUGUCUGGCAGCUCUAUUUGAUUGUAUAUUUGUGGCUUGGGAUGGAAACAGGGAGCAAACCAGAAGAGCUGGGAGACGACUGGAAAAUGCAAACAUACAGCUUCAUGACUGCAACUAUUUAAUGAAUGAAAGAGAUAAAGUAGCCGGAAAAUCCCAGGUCUUGGACCAGGAAAUGUGAAAUGAACCAGCAAAGAUGCUUCAGCAGGCCUGAAGAGACUGGGAACACCAGAUGAAAGAGAACAGGUACCUGUAAAGAGCAGUGAUACAGUCAGAGGAAACAAUAAAAAUGAGGUCUUGCUCUGUUGCCCAGACUGGAGUGCAGCAGCAUGAUUAUGAUUUACUGCAGCCUUGAAAUCCCAGGCUCACGGGAUCCUCCCAUCUCAGCCUCUCGGUAACUGGAACUACAGACUAGAAGCUCUGUAAGAGCAAGGAUGUUGGGUAUUUUUGCUCACGUUUCCCAGUGCUUUAACAGAAUGCCUGGCAUGAGUAAGUCCUCCAUAAACAUCUGUGGAAUAAAUCAGUAGUAGAGAUUAAGAAAUGGCCUCAAAGAAGGACACAGACAAACAUGGUCCUGGUUCUAGAGGAAGCUAAAUGUGUUCACUUUUCCUGUGAGCUUUACACAGGAGUUUCUGCAACAUAAAAGAGAUCACAAGGCCAGUACCGAUGAAGCCCUUGAUCCUGUGCUUGUUACCUGGGAAAGACUGACAGUAAUACCUUAAAAAUCAUUGUCUCUGUGACUUAGGAGAAACAGGACAAAUUAUCCUAGCAUGAAAUAUAGCCCAAGAAUAUUGUGGGAAUAACGCAGAUUGAUUUUUUUUCUCUUUUCUGAAUUCACAUCUGUAUCCCUCUUUCAGAUAUUUAUUGACUGCUCAGUUCAGUCCCUUUUCAUAUAGAGAAUGAGGGUAUAUUUCAUUUGUUCAAAACUACAAAAAUAAUCAUACCUCUUAUCUUUCAAAUAAAAAUCAACUUUGCUC